Molecule: long non-coding RNA, 830 nt
Organism: Oncorhynchus tshawytscha (Chinook salmon)
Lineage: Eukaryota; Metazoa; Chordata; Actinopteri; Salmoniformes; Salmonidae
Source: Ensembl
GGCAGGGGAAACAAUGUUGCAGGAGUCUAUUGUGAGGGAUUAUGGCAGGGGAAACGGUGUUGCAGUGGUCUAGUGUGAGGGGUUAUGGCAGGGGAAACGGUGUUGCAGUAGUCUAGUAUGAGGGGUUAUGGCAAAAGAAACGGUGUUGCAGUAGUCUAGUGUGAGGUGUUAUGGCAGGGGAAACGGUGUUGCAGUAGUCUAUUGUGAGGGAAUAUGGCAGGGGAAACGGUGUUGCAGUAGUCUAGUGUGAGGGGUUAUGGCAGGGGAAACAGUGUUGCAGUGGUCUAGUGAGAGGAGUUAUGGCAGGGGAAACGGUGUUGCAGUGGUCUGGUGUGAGGGGUUAUGGCAGGGGAAACAGUGUUGCAGUGGUCUAGUAUGAGGGGUUACGGCAGGGGAAACGGUGUUGCAGUGGUCUAGUGUGAGGGAUUAUGGCAGGGGGAAAGGUUUUGCAGUAGUCUAGUGUGAGGGAUUAUGGCAGGGGAAACGGUGUUGCAGUAGUCUAGUGUGUGGGGUUAUGGCAGGGGAAAAGGUUUUGCAGUAGUCUAGUGUGAGGGAUUAUGGCAGGGGAAACGGUGUUGCAGUAGUCUAGUAUGAGGGAUUAUGGCAGGGGAAACGGUGUUGCAGUAGUCUAGUGUGCGGGGUUAUGGCAGUGGAAACGGUGUUGCAGUAGUCUAGUAUGAGGGAUUAUGGCAGGGGAAACGGUGUUGCAGUAGUCUAGUGUGAGGGGGUUAUGGCAAAAUAAAUGGUGUUGCAGUAGUCUAGUGUGAGGGGUUAUGGCAGGGGAAACGGUGUUGCAGUAGUCUAGUUUGAGGGGUUAUGGCAGGGGAAAA